This 254-nucleotide ribosomal RNA is filed under the name uncultured bacterium. RNAcentral describes it as "partial 16S ribosomal RNA". It matches the Rfam family "Bacterial small subunit ribosomal RNA", at positions 524 to 776 of the family's 1533-position model. The record is from RNAcentral.
UACGUAGGGGGCGAGCGUUGUCCGAAUUUACUGGGCGUAAAGCGCGCGUAGGCGGCUACUCGAGUCCGGGGUGAAAGGUUCAGCGCUCAACGCGAACAGUGCCUUGGAUACUGGGUGGCUUGAGUCUGGCAGGGGGGGACGGAAUUCCUGGUGUAGCGGUGAAAUGCGUAGAUAUCAGGAGGAACACCGGUGGCGAAGGCGGUCCCCUGGGCUAAGACUGACGCUGAGGUGCGAAAGCGUGGGGAGCGAACGGG